Molecule: unclassified non-coding RNA, 140 nt
Filed under: soil metagenome
Description: partial internal transcribed spacer 1
Source: RNAcentral
CAGAGUUGCAAAACUCCCAACCCUUUGUGAACGAACUUGCCAGUUGCCUCGGCGGGGAGCCCCUCAAGGAGCCGACCGCCGGCGGACUGCAAACUCUUUUGAACUACCAUUCUAGAUUACUUCUAUUACCAUAAGUAUCA